Molecule: ribosomal RNA, 253 nt
Filed under: uncultured bacterium
Lineage: Bacteria
Description: partial 16S ribosomal RNA
Rfam family: Bacterial small subunit ribosomal RNA
Source: RNAcentral
UACGUAGGUGGCAAGCGUUGUCCGGAUUUACUGGGCGUAAAGAGCGCGCAGGCGGUCGUUCAAGUCGCGUGUGAAAGCCCCCGGCUCAACUGGGGAGGGUCACGCGAUACUGAUCGACUCGAAGGCAGGAGAGGGAAGUGGAAUUCCCGGUGUAGUGGUGAAAUGCGCAGAUAUCAGGAGGAACACCAGCGGCGAAGGCGGCGCUCUGGGCCGGUACUGACGCUGAGGAGCGAAAGCGUGGGUAGCAAACAGG